UGACGUCGUGUUCCUCCUCCCGCUCGCAGCGAAGCUGGAGGAUUUAACGACGUCGCAGAGCGAACAGGGUCUUUUUCACCUGGGAGGCGGCGGGCUGUGGUCCCACCUGAACCCGCCUCCUGGUUUUGCGGGACCCGACAAAC
This is a small nucleolar RNA of Sphaeramia orbicularis (orbiculate cardinalfish), 143 nucleotides long. Ensembl annotates it as small nucleolar RNA SNORA79. The record is from Ensembl. Lineage: Eukaryota; Metazoa; Chordata; Actinopteri; Kurtiformes; Apogonidae.